CACUAGAAAGCUAAACGGACAAGCAUUAGCCUUUUAAGCUAAAGACUGGUGGCCCCAAACCACCUCUAGUGAC
This 73-nucleotide transfer RNA is filed under the name Creteuchiloglanis kamengensis. Its description in RNAcentral is "tRNA-Lys". It matches the Rfam family "tRNA". From Rfam's summary of the family: Transfer RNA (tRNA) molecules are approximately 80 nucleotides in length. Lineage: Eukaryota; Metazoa; Chordata; Actinopteri; Siluriformes; Sisoridae. The record is from RNAcentral.